AAAAAAAAAAGAAGGAACGAAAGACAAGAACCAAUCCACAAUUACACAGAGGGGGAAAAAUAAAAACCGAAAGAGACAAUAGUACAAAAACAGCAAAUUAAUAGGUAGGAAAAUGCUCAAAAGUUGUAGACACAAGAGCCAUCGUCACUUCUAGCCGUUGGAUCAAAGUUUUUGGCCGAAGGAUCAGUACACCCUUCAGGAACUGGCAGAUUCACUUGCUGUGCACUUUUCCCUGCAAGGCAAGUUACAAUAAACUUCAGAAACCCUAGUUUCAUUUUCCCUCUUCCUUUCUUUCAUCCCUUUCUCUUCUAUCUUUUCACAUCAUCACACCAAUUUGAGAGACAAUCCGUUGGCUAACCAAACAACAAAAAAAACGAAAACAAAGGAGUCUCAAACCUCGGGUUCUAACCGUAGAAAGUUCCGCGGUCGAUAGCGUCCGCGUUUGCGUCUCCCAACGCAGCCUCGUUAAGGUAUUGGUCAGCAAGUUGGACUCUCUUGACGUUCUCUUGUUCCAUCACAAGCAUGUUUCCAUACUCCAUAAGCUUCUCAAGAGUCAUCUCCGGUUGCUCGAACACUGGAGGUCCUUCCCUCGAGUUCACCAGCCUCUUUCCGAUCUUCUCAACUCCAAGUCCCUCAACGAACUUCCUCACUUCAUCAUCGUACACUCUCGCCCUCAAUGCACCGAAGAAAUCUGUCCAUACAAAGCAUAUAACUUCUCAGAAUCUGCACCAACUUAUAUGCAAGUUCUUUAAAGAAAAAGUCUUUCUUUUUUAUUACCGAUGGAUUGGCCAGGGAACUGAUCAACAAGCGUGACAAUGUCUUCAUCAUUGAUCUUGUCGGUCCUGAAGAUACCCUUGCAGACACCAAUACGGUCUUCACGGGUCGGUGCCCAGUAGAAUUUCUCCAUACGUCCGUCACGGAUGAGAGGAGCGUAGAGAGUGGAGAAAUCGUUACCGGUGACGAUGAUUGGGACACGUGCGUUGUCUUCCUUGUUGUACAUCCCUGGAAGCUGGACGUUGGUCGGGUUAUCAGCAAUGUUCAUGAGCGUUGCGUUGACCAUCUGGUUGUUCACUGUGUACUGAGUAGUGCCUCCCAUACGACCAGCACCAGCGUCAAGAUCGUUGAUGAAGAGACAACACAUCUUUCCUUUCUUGAUCAUGUCUGCUGCUUCACGGUACCUUUGACGGAUCAGCUUUGCUGGUUCUCCUGCGUUUCCACUCUCAAGCUCUCCAGCACUCAUCAUGAUUGGGCUGCGAAAAGAUUUGAACUUUUUUAGAUUUUGGUUGGUUAUAUGAGAGUGAAAUGGGAACUGGAGAACGGAAAAUGGACUCACUUGAUACCCAUCUUGGCCAUGACAAGCUCACAUUGGAAGGAUUUACCUUGACCUUUGCCUCCCCAGAUACCCAAAAUAAGUGGAACCUGUCAAAAACAGAGCAUUUUCAAGAUUAAUAAAGUUGGAACCUUUCGUGUGUAACUAAUAACUCAAAAGAAAAUGCCUCUAAAUCAAUAAUACCUUGAUGUUAGGCAAAGUCAAGAAGUUCUUGGUGAUGUGAACAACAAGCUUGUCCAUGAAAGCAGGAGCAAUGUAAAACCCAUCCAUCAUGUUGUCCAAGUUGUACCUAUUUUAAACAAGAAACUCGAUGUUAAAAACCCACAGAUUCUAACUCUAUUUGGAACUGAUGAGAGAUUUAGAGAGAUAAAAGACUUACUGCCUAAGACCUUGGCUGAUGUAUUCGUAGGAGCUGAGGACAGCAUGGUGAGUUCCGGUUCCCAUAGGAGCUUGGAAGACAGAGUCAACCAAACCUUUGCCUCUGGUGAUGUCUUGUUGAUCAUCAGACAUGUCGUAGGCAAGUCCCUUCCAUCUGUCUCCAUCGGUUUGUUUGUCUUCUUUCACAGCAACCACCUUGAAUGAUCCGCUGCUCUUCUUGUUGCUCUGUGCGAAUCUCGACGUCGUUACAACUUUCUUUCCCAAGAAGGUUGUCGCUGGGACUGAAGCAGCUCCUGCUCCUGACCCGUUUAAGCUCAACUGCAACACACACAGAGGCCAAGCUCAAUUCAAAUUUGAUUCGCAUGGUUCAAGAGCCGGUUUAGAGAGUAGAGACUAAAGAUCAAUAUAAACUAAAUCCAUUCGAACCAAACUAAACCGAAAUGAUCUGAAAAUUAGACCCAAAUUUAGUUUGGUUCUCAUAGAUCAUGAUCAUAGAAUCAUAGACUAUAUCACUGAAGAUUAAAGGGUGUUCAAGCUAAAUCUAUUUAUCUGAACCAAACCAAAAUAAUCUGAAAAACUGAACCAAGAUUUAUUUCGUUUGACCUUGUUUGACUUUCUUUAUACACAGAAUCCUCCAAUAAUUUCCGAACCUCCAAUUCGAUUACUAUAGUUUCUAAACCAAACCGGUUUAAAGAAAUCUACCAAUUUAUAGUUCCCAAGUAGAGGAUAAGAGAAGCAUCAAAGAAUCUCUAGUUUAGUUCCAGAUUCUGACGACAUAUGUAAGACAGAGAAUUUCAAAGUGAUACUGAAUUAUGAAAAAUCAAAACUACUCAAGUGGAUAGUGUUAAAAGUAACAUUAAAUCAUAAUAAGAAGUGAAAGGGAGAUGAAGAAGAAGAAGUUGAUUACCGGAGCUCUGUUGAUGGCACCAACGGUGGAAACUGCGGCGGCCAUUUCUCACGACUGCGACGAGUGUGCGUCACACAAGAAGCUGAGGAGAGAUUUUGAUUAGUUGAAGAAGAAGAAGCAGUGAGAGAUGAUGGUGUGGGCAAGAAUUAAAGAGAUUUAUAAAGCGAGUGAUCAUCAACAAUUCGUUAUCUCUUCGUAUUCGAAGCUCAACUCUCUGAUCGCCACACGAUCCGGAUUGGCCAAUGCGCCACGUGGCUUGACAAGGAAGCCGAUGAGGAGGACUCUGUUGUGAUUGGUCCACGUGGAACGUGUUUUUAUGAGGUUGUCGUGAAUUGGCUCAUCUGUGCCAUUGGAUUUGUUUUUGACGCCUUAGCUUCGAGGGAAGAUUAUAACGUUGGUUAUUACCACAUAUGCUUUCAAAAAUUAUUGUGUUGCUUUUUUUUUUUGUGAGGAUGAGAUAGCCAUUCAUAUGUGAUCAAGAAACUUCUACAGAAUUCUUCAUACAGUAAAGCUCCAAAUAUUAGAUAAUGACAUUACUACUUAGUGAUAAUGUUGUUCUAAAUAAUCGGUGUAAACUGAUUGGCCGAGAGAAAUUUGCCUAGAGCCAAUAGUGUAGAUUUCUUAUUCUAUCAUUAAACCAAAUGUAUACCAUACAUCAUUGUUUACAAAACCAUAUGGUUUACAAACUAACCAUUGUUCAACUAACCGCUAACAUCUAAACUAAUUAUUAUUUAUUUUAUCUAUAAUAUACUUAAGUUAAAAUUUGGAAUAAAUGUUCAAAAUACACAUUUUUUCAAGUAGAAUGUUGAACAAUCCUGGCAUAGAGGCGUCUUAUCACAUAUUUUUAGUUGAAAAUGUGUGUUUCGUUCUCUUGUAGAAUGAUAAGAUUGCUUGCAAUGUGUAUAUGUAGACUGUAGUUGUUGUGCAUCCUAAUAAACAUUUGUAUGCAAGACUAGAAAACAAACAUUAAAGAAUGAGACUAAGUUGAGUUUUUGGAAUACGUUUAGAUACGAUAUUGAAUAAUCAAACGAUUGCUAACCUAUGUGGAUAGUGGACCGACUCGUUUACCAAAAAAAAAAAAAAAUGUGGACCGACUCUCACAUUGUAAGAUCAACUCCAAUGAGCUGAUUUUAGAAGAAGUUCUUCAUAUUAUAUGUAUAAAAAAUAAUAAUUAAAUAUUAUAGAGGCUUUUAAAAUAGGAGAGAGGGUAUCCAAAAUCUCUUGUUUCAGAACCUCUUUUUAUGUAUUUAAAGAUUUUUCUCUUUAUUUUGUACAUGAUUUCAUUUUAUAUUAUUGUUUUGAGAACUCUUACACUGUUUUCAAUAACCCAUGGUUGGAGAUGGUCUAAGAAUAUAUGGUUGUUUUUUUGAUAAGUGAUAUGAUUAGGACUUAGGAGCAUAAGCUGCAGUUCUGAAAGUUAAGAUGAAAACAAAAUAAAUAAAAUCCCAAUAUUUUUCCUUUUCAAGAUUUUAUUUUCGCACAUUUACUCUAAAAUAAGCAUCUUAACCACUACACUACAGUACACUUUCUCUACCUAACAGAUAAAGAUGAAACAGUCCUAAAUAAAUCUCUUAUUAGUCCAUGAUUGAUUAAAUUGAUUAGGCGCUAGAUAUCCUUCUCUAAUGCCCAAUUAACGCCUUAUAUAAUAAUUUGAACAUAGGCUUUACAUAUUGACUCAUGCAUCUAAAAGUUAUGUAAUACUUUCACAUAUUUUUAAAAGAAACUUAGAUCAAUAACCAAGAUUUUGCCACAACUUACAUAUACUUGCAACCUAGAAUGUAAUCAUUGGGUCUUAUGUAUUGAAGAUUGAAGCUUAUAUUUGGGUAAGAUUAUAUCGCUUGUUGAUGCCUAGACUAAUGAAUCUCAUAUAUAUUUCUAAGCAUGAUGAUAUUCAUUUUAUAAGAAAAGUCAAAUCAAUUAUAUAGUUGAUGUCUGAGCUCUCAAUAGAUUUAUUGUGCUACAAGGUCUCAAAUGUCAUGCAAUUGUGUGGCGAUGGAAGAACUUAGCAAGAUGAGAUUUGGAACUUUAUUUUACAUAAUUUGUUGCCAAUAUGGACUCAUAAAACAAAAUUACAUUUCGAACAUCAAGGAACUAUCAAGAAUCAAAUUCUAAGUGGUCGAAAAGGAAGUGAACUGAUAGUAGAGAGGUUUUGCAAUGAAGAAGGUAUAUCCAAGCGACCAGCUCUAAGCUGUCGAUAGCCACAACUGCAAACAUAUCGGAGGGCUAGAGAAGGGUUUGUGUCUUUGUAGCUAGCUGGAGGAUGUUUAGUGAAUUCAUAGAAUUGAUGGCAGUGAUGAUUAGUGGCAACCGACCUGAAUUUUUGUCUAUUGAGCCUUGAAUAUCUCUGUGACCAAACUAGAAGAACAUGGUGCCUUUGGAUUUUUGGUCACUACCAAUUGGUUCUAAGAUUGAUCAGCUGAAAUGGAAAUUGAAGAAAAGGUGAUUUAUGCUUUCAAGCGACUAGUUACAGAAAAGACAGUGUGUAAUAGUAUUUAACCCCUAACCAAUGAUCCGAGGUUCCGAGCCUUAGUAGCGACUGUGUUUGCUUUGUUUAUAACUUAUAGCACCCACAAAAUCUUGUUGUGUUUUUUUUAACAAAAUUUUGUUGUUGGUUUUUUAACAAUAAAAUUUUAAAAUCUUUCUAUUACUUAUAUGAAAUCUCCAGUUUCCAUCAUUUACGUAAUCGACCGAAACAUAUGUCAUCCUGUUUCUUUCGUUUGAUUUCUUUCAAUUCAUCUCAUUCAAUAACUUUUCUGUAAUUGGAUAAUUUAAUCAUAUUAUUGACCAGUUAAAAAAUGGUCACAUCAUUUCACUCAGUAACAUAAAGACGAAAUGAGUCUUAAAAGAAAACGAACUUCAUUUAAUUUUAGCAAAAAAAAAAAAAAGCGAGUUUAGGUAAUAAUAAAAAAAAGCAUACAUACGAAUUUCUUUCUUUGUUCGCGUUUUUACAAAUACUAAACCUUCCGUAGGAGGAGACUUUUCAUUGUCUCAGUGUAUAUGCUGCGAUCGCAUAAAACUUAUCAAAGAGAAAUCUCAGUACGGAUUUGCUAAUUUGGUGAUGGAGUAGUAGAAAAGCCCUAGAUCGGAAUUCGAUUCUGGGUUCUAAGGAACAAGGUUUCUGCUACUCCCUCCAAGAAUUUCACUGCUCGGAAGAGAGAUUUUCGUAAGUUUCUUUGUUUGUUUUUCCCACUGAUUAGGGUUUAUUCUUAAGAAUUUCCUGCUUCGUUUAUCACCUCUUUUAUCUUAUUUGAGCCCAGUGGAUUCGAAAACUCAUGUUAUGCUGAUUCGUUUUUUUAUUCAGAGUUUUAGAAUGUUUUGAGUAGAGUAUUCACAGUUCUAAUGAUACCAAGAAUGUGGGCUUUGGGGUAUCUGAAGAAUCUUGCUUUUUGGUUUUAGUGAAAAAGGUUGUUACUUUGGAGUAGUAAGCUAGCAAGCUAUAAAAAAAAUGGAGCCUUGACGAUUGUUUUAUAGAGAAUUGGUUAAACCCAGUGCUUUUAGAUUUAAUUUUGAUUGGAGUCUCGUGAAGUCUUUGUGUUAUUUUUGCCUAACGUUUUCUUUGACAUAACUUGGGAUUUGGGAAUGUGUGUUCUUGUAGAAGAUGAGUAGGAACCCUGUCUUUGAUCCUACCCUUCAAGAUAUUCUUCAAGCGAUUAAACCCACAGGAGCAGAUUGGGAUGCGAGGAUGACCGUCAUUGAUCAGUUGCGUAGUGCAUUACAAUCCGUAGAAAGCUUAAGAGGUGAUGACCCUUGAUACACUUUUGUGCUUCUCCCAUUUUUCUUACUGUAUAGUACUGCCUUGAACCAUAUAUGGCCAUGGGUGUGAUAUUAAGAUUGGAAAUGAAAAGGAAGAACUUGCUGAUAGUUCAUUUUCUGGUUUGAUAUUGUUAGGUGCGACUGUUCAACCAUUUGGAUCCUUUGUGUCAAAUCUCUUCACACGAUGGGGAGACUUAGAUAUCUCUGUUGACUUAUUCAGCGGUUCGUCCAUCUUGUUCACUGGAAAGAAGCAGAAGCAGACUUUCCUUGGACAGUUACUUCGAGCACUGAGAGCGUCAGGUGAUUCAAGUAGCUUUUGCUUCACGGGGUUCCCCUUAAAUCACUUAAGUUUUCUACCAGUUUCAGUAUUUUCCAUGGCGAUUUUGUCUGAUGUCCAUUAUCAUGCAAAAACCAGGUGCAUGGUACAGGCUGCAAUUUGUUGCUCAUGCGCGAGUUCCCAUUCUGAAAGUCGUGAGCGGCCACCAGAGAAUUUCUUGUGACAUUUCAAUUGAUAAUCUGGAAGGGCUCUUGAAGAGCAGGUUCUUGUUCUGGAUCAGUGAGAUAGAUUGGAGAUUCCGUGACUUGGUUUUGCUAGUAAGUUAAGAUGCUAAUAAAACCAGAUUGUGUGUUUCCAAAGGUUUAACUGAUUCUAGACAUAUCUACCUCGUUUAUAGGUGAAGGAAUGGGCCAAAGCUCAUGAUAUCAACAACCCAAAGAACGGGACUUUCAACUCUUACUCACUUAGUUUGUUAGUCAUCUUUCAUCUGCAGGUAAGCUAACAGCUCUAUGUUCAUAGAUUCCGCUGCAUUUGCCACAUACUGCAUCAUUAUAAAACAUGGUGUUUUAAUAAUUUGUUGUUUGAUGCAGACAUGUGUGCCUGCAAUCUUGCCGCCUCUAGGAGACAUAUAUCCGAGGAGUGCGGUUGAUGAUCUGAAAGGUACUUUUUAUGAAUAGGUUCUCAAGCCAAACCACAUAAACUUAUGAGGUUUUGUGAUACAGUAGCGGCAUGGUCUCUUGUAGGUGUGCGAAAAACUGCAGGAGGAUAGCAUAGCGCAACUUUCUGCUGCUAAUAUAGCGAGAUUUAGAUCAGGCACAUCAAGAGCAGUCAAUCGAAGCUCGCUCUCUGAGCUUUUGGUCUCGUUUUUUGCAAAGGUAAUUGAUUUCUCACACAGUAUGGGAGCUUAGACUUUCUGUCUCUCUUUCUGUAUCUAGUCUUGGUGGAAAUUAGUUUUUGAAUUUUUUUUUGUGUGGCUGUAUUUAUCAGUUUUCAGACAUAAACGUAAAGGCCAAAGAACUUGGUGUUUGUCCGUUUACUGGAAGAUGGGAAAACAUAAGCAGUAACACUAGAUGGCUGCCAAAGACAUACUCACUCUUUGUAAGACUCUUUCUCUCACCCUUCCAUUUUAUGGCUGAAACACACAACAACACUUGAAUCUUCCUGACUGAAGUGUGCAAAAUAAAUGGUGUGUGUUUUAGGUUGAAGAUCCUUUUGAGCAACCUGAGAACGCAGCAAGGAGUGUGAGCCGUAAAAGCUUGGACAGAAUUGCACAAGUAUUUGAGAUGACAUCUCGCCGUCUUGCCACAGAUUGUAACAGAAACUCCAUCGUUGGGGUUCUGACAUCGCCACACAUUUCACAGCCGUUGUGUAGUAGAACAAGCCUCCAUAAUCAUCAUCAUGCAAACGGUGUGAACAAUGGCCAUAAUCUGCAUGGUCAGUCUAGGCCAUGGAACCACCAAAUGCAGCAACAUUGGUCACAGAGCAACUAUGUCCAGAAUCCGCCAUAUUGGCCAGCCUCAGCACGGUCCCGAGCGCAGCAGAAUUGGUCUCAGAACAACCCCAGGAAUAUGCAGGGACAAACACCUGUUCAAGGCCAAACUCGGCCUGUCAUUACACAAACUCAAACGCAGCAGAAGAGUCAAUAUAAGAACGGGAAACAACCAAUGAGAAAUACACAUGCAGGUUCGAGUCAGAAUCAGGGUCACAUUGGUAGGCCCCCAGGUCAAAGUAAUGGUGUGAACUUUGCGAGACCAGCACAAAUAAGUCAAAGUCAACGCGGACAGAUGUGGAGGCCAAGAUCUUGAAUAGUAGAAUGACUUGUGAAGAAGACCUAGAGACAUUCCUUCCCAUAGUUUUGGACGAUAUUAUUGUACUCAGACCAUGGAGAAAGUCGUAACCUUUUUUAAAUAAUCAUCAGAUUUGCAAUUGCCUAAUUGUUUUUUACUAAAAGCCGAGGACUAGGUAAAACUUUACUCAGUAAAACACCACAAUCAAAUUUACAGUUACAUAAUGAGGGAAAAAAAACAAAUAAAGAGAUGUAACCAAACAAUAUAUUUUGUGUCGACUAAAUGCAGUAGUAAUUUGUCUGGUAUUAAGCUCGAAGAAGUCGCUUCUCGCAUGUUAGAAUCCUGUAACUUGCGUGAGGACCCUCGGAUGUGUCACGCAGAGACGUAUGCCAACCCAUAGCCUUUGUGAUCUCUUGAAUUUCAUCCAUAACAUCUAUUGAAUCCCUAAUGUAUGCUCUUCCUCCCGGUCUCAAUAUCCGGUCCAUCUCUAACAAUAUGGUUGACAUCUCGCAUCUGAUAUAACCACAGAAAUCCAUGAAACAUGUUAACCAUUUUUCAGCAUUAUAACUCAUGUACAAAAGUAGAAUGAUCUUGAGUGAAUCCCGUAUUGUCAAUCAUCAAUUGUGGACAUGAGUUUAUCACUUUGAAAUUGAGUUACAGACACGGCUUACCUUUUUCUUUCGAUUGAGAAGAGCCCUGAGGCAUGUAAGAAGUCAUAUGUCCUCGGGUAAGUAUCAAAUGGUUCACACCUGAGAGGUAGAAUGCACGACUUAUUAAAUAGCUCGAGCCAGAACCUAAAUCUUAGUUUAACUUGAAUGCACGACUUCCUAGAUAGCCGGGAGCCAGACAGAUGAAUAUAUGUUCUUAAAUCAAAUAUGAGCAGGAAAAGAACAGCCUCUUAAGAGCUUACUAAAUUUCCAGAACUUACUAAACACAUUCUAUGUUUUUAUUUGAUAGAUUGUAAGGAGAAAAGUUAGUACCAAUCGUGCAUCACUCCUAGUAGUCCACGAUCAUAAAUGACAGGCAACGUAUUGGGCCCGCUGACAGGAACCACGCUGAGAACCCAGCAAUCAAGUUUAUGAUCAUUUAGUGCAGCUGCAAAUCUACCAAAAAACCAAAGAAAUCAAACAAAGAGAGGUAAGCUAAGAAACUAAGUCAUAGUACUUAACAGUAAAAAUAUCAUUUCAUACCCGCCAAAGCCUGCUCUCAUGUCCAAAACGUUUCUUAGUUUCAUCUUUUUCCAUUUUAAGGCACGGAUAUAACCCCCUAUUAUUUCAUUCCAGAAUUUUGACUCUGCCUUGAAUAGCUCUUUCCUAGCAAUGUAGGAAUCAAAUGUUAUCGUCUGCAGCCUAUCAGGUGGAGUGUGGAGACGGGCAGGCCAUAAAGGAACAAUGCCUCCAUAUCCAUUCUCAGGUAUGCGACUGAUACAAGGUUUCAGGUUUGUGUACCUAAAGCAAGAACAAAACAAUAUGAGACAAAGAAAGUGUGAGUUUUUGCACACAAUGUCACAGACCAAGUCUAUAAGCAGGUUUGACUCUAUACGCAGAUUUUUGAUGCAACUCUAGCAGCAUUAAAGUAUAUAUAGCCUUUAUUAUUUUGUUGGUAUGCUUCCAGAUGCAGGUAGCAAGCUAUGUCCUUGUAUCACAAACAAAGAAAGACAAAAAAAGUUAAGCAGCUGUACCAAACAUUAUCGGGGUCAUCAGAUUCAUCACAAAGAGGAGGUUUGGUUCCAGCCUCACGACUUAAAUAACAGUCGUUGUUGAGAGGCUUCUGCCAGAUUGCAAUGUAUCCUUCCUUCUUUAUCAGCUUCCAGCAAAGGCUAUUAGUAAGAUUCAGCAUCUCUGGAAAGCAAAACAUGAGAGUUAAAAGAGUACAAAUAUUGGCUAAAUAGAAGUAGUAAAUGGAAGCAAAAAACUCCCUAUACACACAGAGACAAAAUAUGUAUAAUUCAGAAAAGAGUUAUUAAUUCAACAUAUUCCUCAUUCUCUCUAACAAAGCUACGUGCCAUGAUCACUAACUCCAAACAGAUUAAACGGGUGUACCUGUCCACUGUUCUUCCAAAGCGGCUUCAUGCUUAUAAACAGGCUGUGCAGCCCAAGCAAAAUAUCCUCCAGCGCGCAGCAUUCUAUUGAUCUCAAGGAGCAAAAUUCCAUCUUUAUCACAAGAAUGAAAAAGUAGAAUGAGAAUUUUCUCCACAAGUAAAAGAAGUUAAACUGUCGUUCACCAUAGAGACUUAAAAACUACAGUAGGUGCGCGACCUAAAUAUUUUUCUGCUGAAUUACGUAAAGAACCAAUCACAUCAGAGAACCUUACCAUCACGAGUCCAGUUGAUUCUACAUCUUGAACAAUGAAUAAUAUCAAAAGCUUGGCUUGGAUACAACAAACGCCUUGUAGCAAAUGCUGCCGCCAUAGCAGGCACACCACGCUCAAGAGCAAAUUGAAUUUGGUUCUCGUGGACAUCUUUUGGCGCAACAGACAUUGUCAAAACAUCGCGUGUCAAUAGAUAAGCGCCAAAACUCGCCACACCACAACCAACAUCCAGAGCAACCCGAAUACGCUUGCCAAACUUAAUAUCAGAAACCAUCUGCACACACAAAGUCAAAGUUCAACAUCAGACGAAAAGAUAAACAGAUAGAUGACGUGAAGCAAGAACUACUACUACUACUUGAAAAUGAGCAACCUUAGAGAUUUGGUCCAAGUACUGGUCAGCACCAUGAAUAAACUGUGUACCACCACCAGGAAACUUGAACUUGUUCUUGUCUCGUGGGUCUCGUGAAAUCCAGUUCUGACCGCCUUUGUCUUCAACAAGCCGAGUAUGAGGAACAUUGCUGAACCAAACCUAUCCGUACAAAAAAUCAUCUUAAACUUACGCAAAUCAAUUCCAAACACUAUUUAAGACAUAUUCUCUGAUUCUUCCAGCUAAAAUGUAAAAAAAUUCUACUGGAGCUUUAGUCAAAAUGUCACUGAAACCAAUAGUGAAGCAUAAACUCAACAAAGUAGUACCUCGUCACGGCUUUUAGGCCAUGGAAUCGGCUGACGGUAACCUUUAGGAGGUGGAACCAAGCAAUUUAAGCCUUUACCUUUCUCAGGGCAAUAACGCUCGAAUCGUUCCCCUCGUUCAGUAGAUUUGAGCUUCUUAAUCGCAUCGGUGUUAUCCAAACAAGGUAUAUACUCUCUCAUGCUCUCAGGACACAUCCCGAAUUUCUUAAUUCUAACCCUAACCUUAGAAUCGCCGUCCUUUUUCCCUUCCACGAUCUCCGUCUUGUUCCCCCAAUCUUCCACAGAGUCGUUCUCAAUCUCUCCCACCUCGAAAUCGUCAGACAUCACGCCGUUUGCAUCCACUAUCCCGAAGCUCCGAAUCGGACCAGGCGGAGGUGGAGAAGGAGGAGGUGGAUGAAGAGAGGGAGGAGGAGGAUUAGCUUCCACUUUAUUAAUCUCCGUCUCGGUGACCACCGACGGAAUCGGCUGCGUUGUGGCGGGGAUUUCAGCCUCGGUGUGAUUAGCAGGAAUUAUGGCGGAUAUAUUGAAGGUCAUGUUACUGUUGGGAGAGAUGGAGACCUCCGGGAUCGAGGUCCCGGAGCUGGUGGCGGAGGA
This 12026-nucleotide long non-coding RNA is filed under the name Eutrema salsugineum. RNAcentral describes it as "long non-coding RNA (ESAL_LNC001981)". The record is from RNAcentral. Lineage: Eukaryota; Viridiplantae; Streptophyta; Magnoliopsida; Brassicales; Brassicaceae.